This is a long non-coding RNA of Pieris napi, 1944 nucleotides long. RefSeq lists it as uncharacterized. The transcript has 2 exons. The record is from RefSeq and is a predicted model, not a curated record. NCBI's taxonomy places the organism in Eukaryota, Metazoa, Arthropoda, Insecta, Lepidoptera, Pieridae.
AGACAUCGAUGGAUAUGCUUCUUUGUCAUGUCUUUUGCACGCAAUACCCAAUAUUUAGAGCGUAAAUAACAAAGCAUUAGCUGAAUACCUCCGUGUAAUGUUCUUUUAUGAGCAUCGGCGAUAAUAAGUGAGACAAGAGUGUUGUUGUUUCCAAUGAUUAUAGGAUGUUUAGUAUUUGUUUCUAAACUUGAUUUUGCUAAUCUUCCGCCCACCCUGAGCACUCCAUUAUUAUCUAAAAAUGGAUUAAGCGUCUUCAAUUUACUGUUCUUUUUAAUAUUGUUCUUUUUCUUUAACGAAUCUAUUUCAGUUUCGAAUUCUUCAUUUUGCACUAUUUUGAUACAUGUUAGUAACGCUUCUUCUAUAUCUUCUGUUGUGAUUGUUAUAUUUUUAUUAUCCUUUUUAAACUUGAUAAACUUUUUACAAAAAGCUAUGGUUCUUAAUAGUUCAUUUAAGGUAGUAAAUCUUUCAAAUUUUUCCGAAAAUCUUUUUUCUUCUUUAAUGUUUGUCAAUAUGAGAGUUUUAAUUCUUUCCUUUUUCUUUUCUAGAUCUGUUGUAAAUAUGUUCUCGUCUGUUAAGAUGAUUUCUCCUUUUUGUAACCAAGUAGGUCCUUUCCACCAAAGGUUGCAGUGUUUCAAAUCGGAGAUGAACAUACCUCUAGAUGCAAUAUCUGCUGGAUUUUCUUGUGACUGGACAUGAUGCCAUUGUUCUCUUUUAUGAUUUGCUAAAAUUUCUACUACACGAUUGGCCACAAAUGGCUUCCAUUUCGUGGGUUCACCAGACAACCAAGCUAUGACUAUAGAUGAAUCUGUCCAUGCGAAAACUCUUUCCAUCGGUAUUCUCAUGGCCUGUGCUACUUGGUUCAAUAAUCGGGAUAAAAGCAAAGCUCCAGAAAGUUCUAAUUUUGGCAACGAAAUUGUCUUGAGGGGAGCCACUCUAGUUCUGGCUGCAAUUAAUGCUGUUCUAUAUGAACCGUCCGUUUUCUUGACUAGGCAAUACACCACGGCGGCGUAAGCUAAAAUAGAAGCAUCACAAUAACCAUGAAUUUGAAUUGUAUCCAUGUUGGAGCAUGAAGUACUUAACCAUCGAUCGAUAGAAAUGUUAUUUACAUUCAUAAGAUCUCGGCGAAUCUUCAACCAUUCUUCUUUCAGAAAAAUGUUAAGAUCCUCAUCCCAAUCAACCUUCUCAAGCCAUAGUUUUUGAAUUAAUAUUUUAGCUUGAACAAUACAAGGUGCGAUCCAACCUAAAGGGUCGAACAACUUUUGUAUAUCUGAGAGGAUAUUCCGCUUCGUGAUAAUGUUUUCUUCAUCGACUUCAGCUGCUUCAGGAAACUUAUCCCCUUCAUCAAUCGCUAGUUGCUUCAAAGUUUUUACUGCAAGAUACGGUGCUGAGGCUGUCCCGAACGUUACAGUAAGAAGGCGAUAGUCACGUAUCUCAUCGGAUGGAUUUUCUCUCCAUACUAUACGCUGGUAAUCAACAUCAUCUCUAUGAAUUUUUAUCAUUCUAUACAUCAUUUGAAUAUCUGAGACGAAACAAAUUGCAUGAAUACGCCAUCUCAUUAUUAAAUUUCUUAAAUCUUCUUGCAAAACUGGACCUGACAGAAGCUCCUCGUUAAGUGAAAUAUUGUUGGAGCCUUUACAGGAAGCAUCGAAAACAACUCGUGUCUUCGUAGUUUCUUUGUCCUGACGGACCACAGCGUGGUGAGGUAAGUAAACUGAUUUUUUAUGUAAUUCUUUUUCAGGUACUUCUUCAAUAUGAUUUAAUGUUUUAUAUUCGUUUAUUACCUUCAGAUAUUCGUCUUUUAGUUCUGGAUUUCUACUAAAUCUUCUUUCAAGCUGCAUUAAUCUCUUAAUUGCUGUUUCUUUUGUAUUUCCUUCAGAUGACAAUGGUGCUUCAGUUUUAAAGGGUAAUCUAACUAUAUAUCUUCCUUCGUUAUUCCUAGCAUGA